CACAGUCUCACGUAAGAGACUCUCCUGUUCCCCCUCUAAAACCAAACCUGGCUGGUUAUCCAUUCUCAGAAGAGGGAAGAUUCAACAACACGGAUAUAAGCCACUGCACGUUUUGUAUUGCUGCAACUGUUUAUUAUACCUUUUCUAUUUCUUCACACUUUUUUGCUGCCAUCUCUUAUUGCUUUGAGUUUCUCCAACAAGGAUAUAAAAAUAUAAAACCACCACAAAUAACCUGGCAGUGAGCACCUGAAGAGAUCUCCUCUGAAUAAAAGGUACAGUCUUUAGUGUAUGGAUUCUGGAGCACUAUAAUAAUAUGGAUACUUAGAUAGAAGUCGUAUUCCUGGAGGUCUUGGGAUUACAUUCUGAAUACAUUUUUCUUGUUAGAGAAAUCACUUCUAGCUAAAUGAGGCCUUCCUCUGGUAGGAAUAUAAAUUCUGUCCACUUAAGUAGGUCAUAUUUAAAACCACAUUGUAAGUUAAAAGGAACUAUUUAAAGGUUCACUUCAUUAUAAAACCUGAGCGUGACGUAUAUGGAUUUAAAGCUGUCAUAUUCAUUUAACAAAAGGUUUUUUAAAUUCAUAAUUAAAUAUUAUACUUUCACGUUACCCACUUAUUUUGAACUAUGUCUAAUCCAUACCAUAGAAUUGAUUUUUUAAACUAUGUAUUUGACCUAGAUUCUUUCUGACAUCAGGUAUUGGUCACUUCCCAUCACUUCUGCUGCCCACUAAUAUCCUGGAGGGAGAGGACGAUCUCAGGUUUCAGAGCAGAGCAGACAAGAGUUGCUAUCUGGUUGCCAAAGUUCCCUGGCCUCUCAAAAGAUUCUUCUAUCAAAUGGGCAUAAAAUAUCUAGCGUCAAGCACUGUAUUUGGAACAAAGUGGCCACAGAGAUAUGAGGAUAACCUGGUCAAUCAACCCAGAGGUUGCUUAAGAGUCAGACGAGACAAAACCAUCUGAAUAAGAAAGCCUCCCUCUUGCGUCUCCUUCCCACCCUCCCUACCCCACCCCUCUAGGUGGUCACAAAGCACCGAGCUGAUCUCCCUGUGCUAUGCCAUUGUCUUUUAAAUGCUUGCUUCUCCCCAGCCCCUCUUCUUUUAACUCUUCUCUACAUGUCUGCCAUACAGACUAGUUACAUAUUCCUCAGUCUCUGCUUUUCUGCUCUAAGUUAAAAAAUCAACAAUAACACGUGAAAGAAAACAGAAAUACUAAGUCAUAUCCUUUAACCACAGGUAGGGAGAAAUCGAGUUUUUUAAAAGUUACAUUGAGUUUUAACAACUCUCAUUUCAAAACAUAAACAAAAAAAUUUAAGGCAAAUCUCUCAAUACAAAUUUGAAACUAAAUCACAAGCAAGGAAACAUCAACCCCCCAUUGCAAUAUAAAACUGAAUUUCUUAGAAACGCCCCAGCAUACAUUCUUUAUAAUGAGAUCAAUUUCAUAGUAGCUGUCUGACUCACUGGUUUUUUAAGACACAGAUGAUCAUAUCCAAACCACUUAGGAAAGAAGAGAGAAGGAAGAAAGGAGGAAACGGAAGGAAGGCCUCAGUUACACUCAAAAUGAUGUAUCUGAGGAUAAGCUAAAGAACACUUUCUAUAUCUCUAAUGCAUACUGGAAAAAGGUGCAAUAUUUGGUGUGUGUUUCUUUGCAAAGACUGAUAAAAGUUAAUUACACAAAAAGGUUAAGGAAGAUGUAUUUAGGGAUAAAGAAUGGUGAUUUUAAAAUGACAACUUACUACAAAUGCCACUAAUAGAACUAAGAACUUCACCUGUCAAAGGCUUUGUUCAUGUCCAAUGAAAAAUAAUCCUAACAAUUAACCUAUAUAAAAACUCUAUCACAAACCUAAUAGUGACUGAACUUUUCCUUCUUGGGUACACUUCGUUUUAAUCUGAAAAUAUUAUUUCCAAAUUAAUAAAUUACAGAAUAUGACACAA
Molecule: long non-coding RNA, 1924 nt
Organism: Orcinus orca (killer whale)
Lineage: Eukaryota; Metazoa; Chordata; Mammalia; Artiodactyla; Delphinidae
Exons: 2
Source: RefSeq, a predicted model, not a curated record